This 558-nucleotide long non-coding RNA is filed under the name Coturnix japonica (Japanese quail). RNAcentral's name for it is "lncRNA (ENSCJPG00005003766.1)". The record is from RNAcentral. Lineage: Eukaryota; Metazoa; Chordata; Aves; Galliformes; Phasianidae.
CUCUGAGCAGAGCUUUGCCUCACAGCCAGUAUCGUGACUGUCUCUGUGCUUAAGUCUUGCUUACAGGAAAUCUCAACAAUGGGGUCUUCAGGUCUCAAAAGCUUCUCAAGCAGAUCUCUAAACUUCUGGCUGCUUAGAGCUAUUUUCCUUAGCUCUGACUUGAAAAUUACAGGGUACAUCAUGCUACAACUACAAACAAGAUUAUUGCUAUGUACAAAUCAAGCUAGGAUUCAAAUUAAAAUACAUGACCUGUAUACUGCCAGGGAGAUGAGAUGAAAAAACAAACAAACAAAAAAAACCACAACAGUUAUUUCUACGAAAGGCAGAACCUGAUGCCAGAUCUCCAGGAUUCACAGAGUUGUGUGUUCUAAACUCAUUGUUACUUCUUUGCCAGUAAAAUAGAUCUAAACGCUGCCCAUUUAUCUUUACAGGCUAAACCUGAAGACUGCAUCUGCAGCAUAAUACAUAGGUCAGGCUGAAAAUGCCUAUCUAUAUUUUUAAAAAAAGACUAAAAUAUAUACAUGGCUUUAGUCCUGAAUUUAUUUUAGUAAAAUUCAC